Molecule: ribosomal RNA, 492 nt
Filed under: uncultured bacterium
Lineage: Bacteria
Description: partial 16S ribosomal RNA
Rfam family: Bacterial small subunit ribosomal RNA
Source: RNAcentral
AGUGAACGCUGGCGGUAGGCCUAACACAUGCAAGUCGAACGGCAGCACAGUAAGAGCUUGCUCUUACGGGUGGCGAGUGGCGGACGGGUGAGGAAUACAUCGGAAUCUACUUUUUCGUGGGGGAUAACGUAGGGAAACUUACGCUAAUACCGCAUACGACCUACGGGUGAAAGCAGGGGAUCUUCGGACCUUGCGCGAUUGAAUGAGCCGAUGUCGGAUUAGCUAGUUGGCGGGGUAAAGGCCCACCAAGGCGACGAUCCGUAGCUGGUCUGAGAGGAUGAUCAGCCACACUGGAACUGAGACACGGUCCAGACUCCUACGGGAGGCAGCAGUGGGGAAUAUUGGACGAUGGGCGCAAGCCUGAUCCAGCCAUACCGCGUGGGUGAAGAAGGCCUUCGGGUUGGAAAGCCCCUUUGUUGGGAAAGAAAAGCAGCAGGUUAAUACCCCGCUGUUCUGACGGUACCCAAAGAAUAAGCACCGGCUAACUUCGUG